Molecule: ribosomal RNA, 492 nt
Filed under: uncultured bacterium
Lineage: Bacteria
Description: partial 16S ribosomal RNA
Rfam family: Bacterial small subunit ribosomal RNA
Source: RNAcentral
AGUGAACGCUGGCGGUAUGCCUAACACAUGCAAGUCGAACGGCAGCACAGUAAGAGCUUGCUCUUACGGGUGGCGAGUGGCGGACGGGUGAGGAAUACAUCGGAAUCUACUUUUUCGUGGGGGAUAACGUAGGGAAACUUACGCUAAUACCGCAUACGACCUACGGGUGAAAGCAGGGGAUCUUCGGACCUUGCGCGAUUGAAUGAGCCGAUGUCGGAUUAGCUAGUUGGCGGGGUAAAGGCCCACCAAGGCGACGAUCCGUAGCUGGUCUGAGAGGAUGAUCAGCCACACUGGAACUGAGACACGGUCCAGACUCCUACGGGAGGCAGCAGUGGGGAAUAUUGGACAAUGGGCGAAAGCCUGAUCCAGCCAUACCGCGUGGGUGAAGAAGGCCUUCGGGUUGUAAAGCCCUUUUGUUGGGAAAGAAAAGCAGCAGGUUAAUCCCCCGCUGUUCUGACGGUACCCAAAGAAUAAGCACCGGCUAACUUCGUG